GAGUUUGAUCAUGGCUCAGGAUGAACGCUAGCGGCAGGCUUAACACAUGCAAGUCGAGGGGUAUAGUUCUUCGGAACUAGAGACCGGCGCACGGGUGCGUAACGCGUAUGCAAUCUACCUUUUACAGAGGGAUAGCCCGAGAGAAAUUUGGAUUAAUACCUCAUAGUAUAAUGACUCGGCAUCGAGAUAUUAUUAAAGUCACAACGGUAAAAGAUGAGCAUGCGUCCCAUUAGCUAGUUGGUAAGGUAACGGACUUACCAAGGCUACGAUGGGUAGGGUCCUGAGAGGGAGAUCCCCCACACUGGUACUGAGACACGGGACCAGACUCCUACGGGA
Molecule: ribosomal RNA, 336 nt
Filed under: uncultured bacterium
Lineage: Bacteria
Description: bacterial SSU rRNA
Rfam family: Bacterial small subunit ribosomal RNA
Source: RNAcentral